CUAACAAAUAGUGGGAUACGCUGUCUCAUCUCCGCCUGCGGUGAGCUGAAGAAGACAAUCAGGCUGACCCAACGUAUAGCCGGUUACGGGGCGAUACUCGGGUGACAUCAAAACUGUAACUACACUCGUAGAAGCUUAUGUGCCGUUAUCUUCGGACAGGGGUUCGACUCCCCUCGGCUCCAUAU
This 185-nucleotide transfer-messenger RNA is filed under the name Paenibacillus odorifer. Its description in RNAcentral is "partial transfer-messenger RNA". It matches the Rfam family "transfer-messenger RNA", at positions 186 to 374 of the family's 374-position model. From Rfam's summary of the family: Bacterial tmRNA, also known as 10Sa RNA or SsrA, is named for its dual tRNA and mRNA-like properties. Its role is to liberate the mRNA from a stalled ribosome. To accomplish this part of the tmRNA is used as a reading frame that ends in a translation stop signal. Lineage: Bacteria; Bacillati; Bacillota; Bacilli; Caryophanales; Paenibacillaceae. The record is from RNAcentral.